This is a non-coding RNA of Coniochaeta sp. 2T2.1, 105 nucleotides long. The record is from the annotation of a GenBank genome assembly. NCBI's taxonomy places the organism in Eukaryota, Fungi, Ascomycota, Sordariomycetes, Coniochaetales, Coniochaetaceae.
UCCUCCUUAGCUCAGUUGGCUAGAGCGUCUGACUGUUACUAGACUCCCUCAAACGGGGUUGAACACAAAAUCAGGAGGUCCACAGUUCAAACCUGUGAGGGGGAG